UGGAGGGCAAGUCUGGUGCCAGCAGCCGCGGUAAUUCCAGCUCCAAUAGCGUAUAUUAAAGUUGUUGCAGUUAAAAAGCUCGUAGUUGAAUUUCGGGGUUCUACCGUUGGUCGGGCUUUGUCUGUACUGGCGUGUAGAAUUUCUACCUUCUGGGGAACCAUCAUGUUAUUAAUUUAACGUGGUGGGAAACCAGGACCUUUACCUUGAAAAAAUUAGAGUGUUCAAAGCAGGCUUAUGUCUGAAUACAUUAGCAUGGAAUAAUAAAAUAGGACGGUGGUCCUGUUUUGUUGGUUUCUGAAUCACCGUAAUGAUUAAUAGGGAUAGUUGGGGGCAUUAGUAUUCAAUUGUCAGAGGUGAAAUUCUUGGAUUUAUUGAAGACUAACUUCUGCGAAAGCAUUUGCCAAGGAUGUUUUCAUUAAUCAAGAACGAAAGUUGGGGGAUCGAAGACGAUCAGAUACCGUCGUAGUCUUAACCAUAAACUAUGCCGACUAGGGAUCGGACGAUGUUAAUUUUUCUUGACUCGUUCGGCGCCUUACGGGAAACCAAAGUGUUUGGGUUC
RNAcentral lists this ribosomal RNA (559 nucleotides) under uncultured Glomeromycotina. RNAcentral describes it as "SSU rRNA". It matches the Rfam family "Eukaryotic small subunit ribosomal RNA", at positions 549 to 1114 of the family's 1831-position model. Lineage: Eukaryota; Fungi; Glomeromycota. The record is from RNAcentral.